AGUUUGAUCCUGGCUCAGGAUGAACGCUGGCGGCGUGCCUAACACAUGCAAGUCGAGCGAUUCUCUUCGGAGAAGAGCGGCGGACGGGUGAGUAACGCGUGGGUAACCUGCCCUGUACACACGGAUAACAUACCGAAAGGUAUGCUAAUACGAGAUAAUAUACUUUUAUCGCAUGGUAGAAGUAUCAAAACUUUUGCGGUACAGGAUGGACCCGCGUCUGAUUAGCUAGUUGGUAAGGUAACGGCUUACCAAGGCGACGAUCAGUAGCCGACCUGAGAGGGUGAUCGGCCACAUUGGAACUGAGACACGGUCCAAACUCCUACGGGAGGCAGCAGUGGGGAAUAUUGCACAAUGGGCGAAAGCCUGAUGCAGCAACGCCGCGUGAGCGAUGAAGGCCUUCGGGUCGUAAAGCUCUGUCCUCAAGGAAGAUAAUGACGGUACUUGAGGAGGAAGCCCCGGCUAACUACGUGCCAGCAGCCGCGGUAAUACGUAGGGGGCUAGCGUUAUCCGGAAUUACUGGGCGUAAAGGGUGCGUAGGUGGUUUCUUAAGUCAGAGGUGAAAGGCUACGGCUCAACCGUAGUAAGCCUUUGAAACUGGGAAACUUGAGUGCAGGAGAGGAGAGUGGAAUUCCUAGUGUAGCGGUGAAAUGCGUAGAUAUUAGGAGGAACACCAGUUGCGAAGGCGGCUCUCUGGACUGUAACUGACACUGAGGCACGAAAGCGUGGGGAGCAAACAGGAUUAGAUACCCUGGUAGUCCACGCCGUAAACGAUGAGUACUAGCUGUCGGAGGUUACCCCCUUCGGUGGCGCAGCUAACGCAUUAAGUACUCCGCCUGGGAAGUACGCUCGCAAGAGUGAAACUCAAAGGAAUUGACG
This 876-nucleotide ribosomal RNA is filed under the name uncultured bacterium. RNAcentral describes it as "bacterial SSU rRNA". It matches the Rfam family "Bacterial small subunit ribosomal RNA", at positions 10 to 915 of the family's 1533-position model. The record is from RNAcentral.